Molecule: ribosomal RNA, 339 nt
Filed under: uncultured bacterium
Lineage: Bacteria
Description: bacterial SSU rRNA
Rfam family: Bacterial small subunit ribosomal RNA
Source: RNAcentral
AACGAACGCUUGCGGCGUGGAUUAGGCAUGCAAGUCGAGCGAGAUUAUUUAGACGGAAGCUUCGGUGGAAGACUAAAUAUGAAAGCGGCGAACUGGUGAGGACAACUUGAGUAAUCUGCCCUAAAGUUCAGAAUAGCCUCGGGAAACUGGGAUUAAUGCUGAAUGUGGUCGUUCCGCUCAUGCGGAAUUGUCUAAAGGCGGGGAUUCCUUCGGGAACCUGUCGCUUUAGGAUGGGCUCAAGGCCUAUCAGCUUGUUGGUAAGGUAACGGCUUACCAAGGCUAAGACGGGUAGCUGGUCUGAGAGGAUGGUCAGCCACACUGGGACUGAGAACUGCCCAG